Molecule: long non-coding RNA, 1029 nt
Organism: Gopherus flavomarginatus (Mexican gopher tortoise)
Lineage: Eukaryota; Metazoa; Chordata; Testudines; Testudinidae
Exons: 3
Source: RefSeq, a predicted model, not a curated record
CUCCCCUCCCAGAGCCGGGGAGAGAACCCAGGAGUCCAGCUCCUCUCCUGCUCUAACCACUAGUCCCCACUCCCCUCCCGGAGCUGGACAUGCAAGGAGCCCAGCCCUUUCCACCUUCAGAAUGAAGUCCCAGCUCCAGCUUUUUGUCCUGCUUUCCACGCUAACAGUGAUCAGCGGGCAAGGCCAGGAACAUGUCCAUUGGUUGGACAAGAUAGUUAAUAGGGCUCAACAACCCCUUAGUGGAAAAGCCCUAGAGAAUGGAAUAGAAAAUUAUCACCUACCUUUGUUUUUAAUCCGUCCUAUAAAACGUAAUUGAGGAUUAAAACCCUGCAGUGGGAUGGCCUGCCAACCCAACUCAUCCACAGUGGUCGUGAGAACGCAAAGACUCGACUGGCCCUGGCAGCCGGGCACCAGCCUCCAUGACCACCAAGACAUUUGAAGGCCAGCGAGCCAGGGCUGAGGGGCAGCUGGCUGCAGCUUGAUCCAAAUGGCUGUGGGGAUGGGAGAGAUACAUGCCGAGAUGCUGCCAGCCCUGAGGUGGUGGGGAAGCGGGGUACGCUGCAAGGUCAAGGUCCUUCCCUGGGCACCGAGCUCCCUGCUGCUUCCUAAGCUGGUGAUCGUUUCAGAGCAAGGUCACUGUUGGCUUAGCUCAGCUCUAAUCAGGGCUCAUAAUCGCUCAGCUGCCGCGGACUUAACAGCGUUGCAGAUGGUCGGACCAAGAUCUCGCGUAGCAGACAGGAGCGGGUAUCUCAGAUGUGCAGCACAGCUCCCUCCCUGCAGGCUGCGGCCCUGGCUUCGCCUAGGGAGACGUGGGUUCUCUCCUACUCCCCACAUUCCCCAGCCAGUCAGAGGGCCCCUUACUACCAGCCCCUCGGCGGUACUGGAGACAAAGCACGCACUUAAAACCCACACGACAACAGCCAGGGCUCUGCAGGGCAGGCAAUGCUGGGAGAUGCCCUGCAGCCAACGGCUCUGCCCCCCACCCCGGCUUCUUGGAGCAGGGCCAAGGCUGUGCCCAUGCUGCAAUGG